This 440-nucleotide ribosomal RNA is filed under the name uncultured bacterium. Its description in RNAcentral is "partial 16S ribosomal RNA". It matches the Rfam family "Bacterial small subunit ribosomal RNA", at positions 338 to 795 of the family's 1533-position model. The record is from RNAcentral.
CCUACGGGUGACAGCAGUAGGGAAUUUUGCGCAAUGGGCGAAAGCCUGACGCAGCAACGCCGCGUGAUCGAGACGCCCUUCGGGGUGUAAAGAUCUGUCAGUGGGAACGAAACUUGACGGUACCCACAGAGGAAGCACCGGCCAACUCCGUGCCAGCAGCCGCGGUAAUACGGGGGGUGCAAGCGUUGUCCGGAAUCAUGGGGCGGAAAGAGUUCGUGGGCGGCAAGUAAAGUCUGGUGGUAAAGGCAGAGGCUUAAGCUCUGUACGGCACUGGAUACUUGCGAGCUAGAAUGCGGUAGAGGUAAGGGGAAGGCCGGGUGUAGCGGGGAAAUGCAUAGAUAGCAGGAGGAACAUCGGUGGCGUAAGCGGUUUAGUGGGCCGUAAUUGACGCUGAGGAACGAAAGCCAGGGUAGCAAAUGGGAUUAGAUACCCUGGUAGUC